CAAUAGCGUAUAUUAAAGUUGUUGCAGUUAAAAAGCUCGUAGUUGGAUUUCUGGUGGGAGCGAUCGGUCUGGCGCUUAGCGCGAGUACUUGCAUCGUCUCCGGCCAUCCUUGGGGAGAGUCUGUCUGGCAUUAGGUUGUCGGGCAGAGGAUCUUCAUCGUUUACUGUGAAAAAAUUAGAGUGUUCAAAGCAGGCUUAUGCCGUUGAAUAUAUUAGCAUGGAAUAAUAAGAUAGGACUUUGGUACUAUUUUGUUGGUCUGCGCACCAAAGUAAUGAUUAAUAGGGACAGUUGGGGGUAUUCGUAUUCCGUUGUCAGAGGUGAAAUUCUUGGAUUUACGGAAGACGAACUACUGCGAAAGCAUUUACCAAGGAUGUUUUCAUUAA
RNAcentral lists this ribosomal RNA (383 nucleotides) under uncultured eukaryote. RNAcentral describes it as "partial 18S ribosomal RNA". It matches the Rfam family "Eukaryotic small subunit ribosomal RNA", at positions 592 to 976 of the family's 1831-position model. The record is from RNAcentral.